Molecule: transfer RNA, 91 nt
Filed under: Rhodococcus rhodochrous
Lineage: Bacteria; Bacillati; Actinomycetota; Actinomycetes; Mycobacteriales; Nocardiaceae
Also listed under: 27 other names
Description: tRNA-Ser(cga)
Rfam family: tRNA
About the family: Transfer RNA (tRNA) molecules are approximately 80 nucleotides in length. Their secondary structure includes four short double-helical elements and three loops (D, anti-codon, and T loops).
Source: RNAcentral
GGUGGCGUGACCGAGCGGCCGAAGGAGCGCGCCUCGAAAGCGCGUGACGGGUAACCCCCGUCCGUGGGUUCAAAUCCCACCGCCACCGCCA